RNAcentral lists this transfer RNA (85 nucleotides) under Colletotrichum orbiculare MAFF 240422. RNAcentral describes it as "tRNA-Gly for anticodon UCC". It matches the Rfam family "tRNA". Rfam says of the family: Transfer RNA (tRNA) molecules are approximately 80 nucleotides in length. Their secondary structure includes four short double-helical elements and three loops (D, anti-codon, and T loops). Lineage: Eukaryota; Fungi; Ascomycota; Sordariomycetes; Glomerellales; Glomerellaceae. The record is from RNAcentral.
GCAUCUGUAGUGUAGUGGUUAUCAUCCCAGCCUUCCAUUCAUCGUGGCUCAGCUGGGGACCCGGUUUCGAUUACCGGCGGAUGCA